GCAAGCGUGACAGAGUGAGUCAAAGUGCCUGCCAUUAGGUAGGCUUUUGUGGAAUGUAAAAAGUUCUACGAAUAAGGACUGGGUAAGACUAGUGCCAGCCGCCGCGGUAAUACUAGCGGUCCAAGUCGCAGCCAUUCUUAUUGGGUCUAAAACAUCCGUAGCUUGCUUGAUAAGUUUUCUGUGAAAUCUCAUAUCUCAAGUAUAAGAAUUGUGGAAAAUACUGUCAAGCUAGAGACCGGGAGACGUAAAGAGUACGUCUAAAGUAGCGGUAAAAUGUGUUGAUCUUAGGCGGACUGACGAUAGCGAAGGCACUUUACGAGAACGGUUCUGACAGUAAGGGAUGAAGGCUAGGGGCGCAAAACGGAUUAGAUACCCGUGUAGUCCUAGCAGUAAACACUGCACACUAAACCUUGUGAUCUCUUCGAGAGAUUGCAGGGCUGCAGGGAAGCCGAAGAGUGUGCUACCUGGGAAGUAUAGUCGCAAGGCUGAAACUUAAAGGAAUUGGCGGGGAGACACUACAACGGGUGACGCGUGCGGUUCAAUUAGAUUAUACACCGUGAACCUCACCAGGAGCGACAGCAGAAUGAAGGUCAGUCUAAAGGGCUUACCUGACACGCUGAGAGGGGUUGCAUGGCCGACGUCAGCCUGUGCUGUGAGGCGAUCUGUUAAAUCAGAUAACAGGCAAGACCCACAUCUUUAUUUAC
Molecule: ribosomal RNA, 704 nt
Filed under: uncultured euryarchaeote
Lineage: Archaea; Methanobacteriati; Methanobacteriota
Description: bacterial SSU rRNA
Rfam family: Archaeal small subunit ribosomal RNA
Source: RNAcentral